RNAcentral lists this ribosomal RNA (292 nucleotides) under uncultured bacterium. RNAcentral's name for it is "partial 16S ribosomal RNA". It matches the Rfam family "Bacterial small subunit ribosomal RNA", at positions 505 to 796 of the family's 1533-position model. The record is from RNAcentral.
GUGCCAGCCGCCGCGGUAAUACAGAGGGUGCGAGCGUUGUUCGGAAUUAUUGGGCGUAAAGCGCAUGUAGGCGGGAUGUUAAGUCGCGUGUGAAAGCCCCAGGCUCAACCUGGGAAGUGCGCGCGAAACUGGCAACCUUGAGUGCUGGAGAGGGUGGCGGAAUUCCCGGUGUAGAGGUGAAAUUCGUAGAUAUCGGGAGGAACACCAGAGGCGAAGGCGGCCACCUGGACAGACACUGACGCUGAGACGCGAAAGCGUGGGGAGCAAACAGGAUUAGAAACCCCGGUAGUCC